AGGAGUUUUCCCGCUUCCACAAGGAGAUCACGCCCAUGUUUGACGGCCUCAACAACAACCGCGCCCACUGGAACGAGCAGGCCGAGGUGUACAACGCCAAGAUGAAGGCCAUCGAGGACGAGAAGAAGAAACUGGAGGAGGAGGAAGCCCGCAGAGCUGGUGGUGGUGACGGGAAGUCAAAAACGUGCACAAUCUGCUAAAUUCUACAUCGCAAUGCUCAGAUACGGACUACAGCUGGACUGGUUCAACCUUCUCUUUGGAUCUAUAAGCAGUACUUCCAACUUACCGGUUUCUUCUCGACCACAUUUUUUUUUUUUUUUUUUUUUUUUAAGUCUCACCUAGUUCCAUCCGGAUUAGCAACCCAAGGAGGCAAAUUUCCAAAAACAAUGAUGAACAAUAGGAGAACUUUCAGGACAAGUCGGACGAUGGAAUCAUUUUUUUCUCAGGAGAAACCUCUUCUUCUUCUUCGAACGGCAUCCAUGGACGUUAUCCUGUUUAUGCUUGCUGGCCAAUUAGCACGUUGAGUCGUUGCACAGAUGCGCAGUUUGUAUGAUUGACCACUAUCAAAGAAAAGUUUGAAACAUCCGAGUGUAACCAACAUGUUAUUUAUCGCUAUCAAAAUAUUGUGCUCUAUUUCCACCUCCAGCGGAUGACAAAAAUAAUUGUUUUACUUGUGCUGUCUUUCCAAGGCCCAAUGCAAAACACCCAGAACAUGUCAGCCUUUAUCUCUGAUGACAUGAUAUGAUUUCGAUGGCAAAAAUCCACAUAAAUCCUUUGCCUGCAUGACUUUACUUGAACAAAGCAGUACAGUUUGUCUAAAAAUAACUGAGAUGUGAAAUGGAUUUCAGAUGUAAUUAAAAAAAAAAAAAACAAAAAAAAACCACCAGCCUUUUUGCAUCUCCUGUAUAAGAAAAGAGAAAGCGGCAAUCCCAUAGGGUCCCCAACCACCGGUACCGGGCACAUCGACAGACCUGCGAGCUGUUCUGUGAGCAUAUUUGCUCCAUCAGACGUGGCGGAAACGUGGGCGACUCGAGCCAAUCGGA
Long non-coding RNA from Hippocampus comes (tiger tail seahorse), 1043 nucleotides. RefSeq lists it as uncharacterized. The transcript is spliced from 2 exons. The record is from RefSeq and is a predicted model, not a curated record. Lineage: Eukaryota; Metazoa; Chordata; Actinopteri; Syngnathiformes; Syngnathidae.